GACAGAGGGUGCAAACGUUGUUCGGAAUUACUGGGCGUAAAGCGUGUGUAGGCGGCUUUGCAAGUCGGAUGUGAAAGCCCGGGCUCAACCCGGGAAGUGCACUCGAUACUGCGAAGCUUGAGUGUCGGAGAGGUUGGUGGAAUUCUCGGUGUAGAGGUGAAAUUCGUAGAUAUCGAGAGGAACACCGGUGGGCGAAGGCGGCCAACUGGACGAACACUGACGCUGAGACACGAAAGCGUGGGGAGCAAACAGGG
Molecule: ribosomal RNA, 254 nt
Filed under: uncultured bacterium
Lineage: Bacteria
Description: partial 16S ribosomal RNA
Rfam family: Bacterial small subunit ribosomal RNA
Source: RNAcentral